This 390-nucleotide ribosomal RNA is filed under the name uncultured bacterium. Its description in RNAcentral is "bacterial SSU rRNA". It matches the Rfam family "Bacterial small subunit ribosomal RNA", at positions 30 to 424 of the family's 1533-position model. The record is from RNAcentral.
AUUGAACGCUGGCGGCAUGCCUUACACAUGCAAGUCGAACGGCAGCACGGGAGCAAUCCUGGUGGCGAGUGGCGAACGGGUGAGUAAUAUAUCGGAACGUGCCCAGUCGUGGGGAUAACGUAGCGAAAGCUACGCUAAUACCGCAUACGAUCUACGGAUGAAAGCGGGGGAUCGCAAGACCUCGCGCGAUUGGAGCGGCCGAUAUCAGAUUAGGUAGUUGGUGAGGUAAAGGCUCACCAAGCCGACGAUCUGUAGCUGGUCUGAGAGGACGACCAGCCACACUGGGACUGAGACACGGCCCAGACUCCUACGGGAGGCAGCAGUGGGGAAUUUUGGACAAUGGGCGCAAGCCUGAUCCAGCAAUGCCGCGUGCAGGAUGAAGGCCUGGUU